GAUUCUGGCUCAGAACGAACGCUGGCGGCGCGUCUUAAGCAUGCAAGUCGAACGGCAAGAGGUAGCAAUACCUCCUAGAGUGGCGGACUGGUGAGUAACACGUGGGUGACAUACCCUUCAGAUGGGGAUAGCUAUUAGAAAUAGUAGAUAAUACCGAAUACGAGCACAGGGGUUAGAGAUCUGUGAGGAAAGGAGCUAAGGCUCCGCUGAAGGAAUGGCCUGCGGCCCAUUAGCUAGUUGGUGAGGUAAGAGCCCACCAAGGCGAUGAUGGGUAUCCGGCCUUAGAGGGUGAACGGACACAUUGGGACUGAGAUACGGCCCAGACUCCUACGGGAGGCAGCAGCUAAGAAUAUUCCGCAAUGGACGAAAGUCUGACGGAGCGACGCCGCCGUGGAUGAAGAAGGCCGGAAGGUUGUAAAAUCCUUUUGAAACUGAAGAAUAAGCGUUGUAGGGAAUGACAGCGUGGUGACAGUAGGUUUUGAAUAAGCAACGGCUAAUUACGUGCCAGCCGCCGC
This 515-nucleotide ribosomal RNA is filed under the name uncultured bacterium. RNAcentral's name for it is "bacterial SSU rRNA". It matches the Rfam family "Bacterial small subunit ribosomal RNA", at positions 15 to 518 of the family's 1533-position model. The record is from RNAcentral.